GAUGAACGCUGGCGGCGUGCCUAAUACAUGCAAGUCGAGCGAACGGACGAGAAGCUUGCUUCUCUGAUGUUAGCGGCGGACGGGUGAGUAACACGUGGAUAACCUACCUAUAAGACUGGGAUAACUUCGGGAAACCGUAGCUAAUACCGGAUAAUAUUUUGAACCGCAUGGUUCAAAAGUGAAAGACGGUCUUGCUGUCACUUAUAGAUGGAUCCGCGCUGCAUUAGCUAGUUGGUAAGGUAACGGCUUACCAAGGCAACGAUGCAUAGCCGACCUGAGAGGGUGAUCGGCCACACUGGAACUGAGACACGGUCCAGACUCCUACGGGAGGCAGCAGUAGGGAAUCUUCCGCAAUGGGCGAAAGCCUGACGGGGCAACGCCGCGUGAGUGAUGAAGGUCUUCGGAUCGUAAAACUCUGUUAUUAGGGAAGAACAUAUGUGUAAGUAACUGUGCACAUCUUGACGGUACCUAAUCAGAAAGCCACGGCUAACUACGUG
This 497-nucleotide ribosomal RNA is filed under the name uncultured bacterium. RNAcentral's name for it is "partial 16S ribosomal RNA". It matches the Rfam family "Bacterial small subunit ribosomal RNA", at positions 28 to 507 of the family's 1533-position model. The record is from RNAcentral.